This 325-nucleotide ribosomal RNA is filed under the name uncultured bacterium. RNAcentral describes it as "bacterial SSU rRNA". It matches the Rfam family "Bacterial small subunit ribosomal RNA", at positions 534 to 859 of the family's 1533-position model. The record is from RNAcentral.
GCAAGCGUUAAUCGGAAUUACUGGGCGUAAAGCGCACGCAGGCGGUUUGUUAAGUCAGUGUGAAAUCCCCGGGCUCAACCUGGGAACUGCAUCUGAUACUGGCAAGCUUGAGUCUCGUAGAGGGGGGUAGAAUUCCAGGUGUAGCGGUGAAAUGCGUAGAGAUCUGGAGGAAUACCGGUGGCGAAGGCGGCCCCCUGGACGAAGACUGACGCUCAGGUGCGAAAGCGUGGGGAGCAAACAGGAUUAGAUACCCUGGUAGUCCACGCCGUAAACGAUGUCGACUUGGAGGUUGUGCCCUUGAGGCGUGGCUUCCGGAGCUAACGCG